GACGAACGCUGGCGGCGUGCUUAACACAUGCAAGUCGAACGGAAAGGCCCCUUUGGGGGUACUCGAGUGGCGAACGGGUGAGUAACACGUGAGUAACCUGCCCUUGACUUCGGGAUAACUUCAGGAAACUGGGGCUAAUACCGGAUAGGAAUCCUUGCUGCAUGGUGGGGGUUUGAAAGCUUCGGCGGUUUUGGAUGGACUCGCGGCUUAUCAGCUUGUUGGUGGGGUAGUGGCUUACCAAGGCUUUGACGGGUAGCCGGCCUGAGAGGGCGACCGGCCACAUUGGGACUGAGAUACGGCCCAGACUCCUACGGGAGGCAGCAGUGGGGAAUAUUGCACAAUGGGCGGAAGCCUGAUGCAGCAACGCCGCGUGCGGGAUGACGGCCUUCGGGUUGUAAACCGCUUUCAGCAGGGGCGAAGCUUUUGUGACGGUACCUGCAGAAGAAGCACCGGCUAACUACGUG
RNAcentral lists this ribosomal RNA (464 nucleotides) under uncultured bacterium. RNAcentral's name for it is "partial 16S ribosomal RNA". It matches the Rfam family "Bacterial small subunit ribosomal RNA", at positions 28 to 507 of the family's 1533-position model. The record is from RNAcentral.